AAGACCUUGCACUUUUGGAGCGGCCGAUGUCUGAUUAGCUAGUUGGUGGGGUAAAGGCCUACCAAAGCUUCGAUCAGUAGCUGGUCUGAGAGGACGGCCAGCCACACUGGGACUGAGACACGGCCCAGACUCCUACGGGAGGCAGCAGUGGGGAAUUUUGGACAAUGGGCGCAAGCCUGAUCCAGCCAUGCCGCGUGAGUGAAGAAGGCCUUCGGGUUGUAAAGCUCUUUCAGCCGGGAAGAAAAGGCUGCGAUUAAUAAUCGCAGUUCAUGACGGUACCGGAAGAAGAAGCACCGGCUAACUACGUGCCAGCAGCCGCGGUAAUACGUAGGGUGCGAGCGUUAAUCGGAAUUACUGGGCGUAAAGGGUGCGCAGGCGGUUUUGUAAGUCAGAUGUGAAAUCCCCGGGCUUAACCUGGGAACU
RNAcentral lists this ribosomal RNA (423 nucleotides) under uncultured bacterium. RNAcentral's name for it is "bacterial SSU rRNA". It matches the Rfam family "Bacterial small subunit ribosomal RNA", at positions 207 to 622 of the family's 1533-position model. The record is from RNAcentral.